GAUUCUGCCCUACGGGGAAGGAUGAGAAGCUUCGACUAAGGUUCGACUCGAGCGCCAGCGAGAGAACGUUGCCGCAGGCAAUGGCCCGAAGGGCGAGGAGCGAUAGCGACGAGUUAUCCUUUUACCGGCGAGCU
This 134-nucleotide small RNA is filed under the name Klebsiella variicola. RNAcentral describes it as "RtT sRNA". It matches the Rfam family "RtT RNA". From Rfam's summary of the family: This family represents a bacterial cis-regulatory element known as RtT RNA. The exact function of RtT is unknown although it is thought that it may be involved in changing the cellular response in relation to amino acid starvation. Lineage: Bacteria; Pseudomonadati; Pseudomonadota; Gammaproteobacteria; Enterobacterales; Enterobacteriaceae. The record is from RNAcentral.